GUUUGAAGCACUUUUUGUGGCCAUUUCUCUCUAGCUCACGUAAGUUUGGUGCCUUGGUGUGUGGGAGUCCGAAUUUUGCUGCAUGGAAAGGGAGGAAAGCAUGGUUUUAUGGUGUGUUUAAGGCAUAUGUUUGUUGUCUUGAAGUAUGGAGCACAUGUAUAAGAAGUCAACACACCUUGCAUGUUCAUUUAAGGAAGAAAAAUCAAAAUUGAAGUUGGGCCUUGGUGGACUAGUAGCUCACGGCCCAAGGGGGUUUGUCAAGCUAUUUGCACCUUUUAAUUUCAAUUGGUAGAUGAAUAUUGGUCACAUAAUUGAUAGAUGAAAAAGCAUGUUUAAUUAUCUCUUUGUUUUGCAUUAAUUUGCAUAGUAGGAUUAGUUGCAUUUGAUUCCUCUAAUUUAGUGUUGCAUUUUAAUAGUCUUAAUUAUGUUUAGAUAAUUGUUUGUUGAAAUGUUGGGUUUAGCACUUUAUUUUACCUUGAUGUUUUCUAACUUACACAGUUGAGUUUAAUGUCCAUUCAUUUUAAUUUAGUUAUUCAUAUUCACAAAAACACUUUUCAAACCCGCCCCCCUUUUUCGUGUUAGACUUGACUCUGAACCGCAGUUGGUCCUUGAGAGACGACCUAGGGGUCAUUCCCUAGCAUUAUACUGCAUUUCUAAAUUGCAAUCAAAUUUGUAUGGGUCGCGACACCCAUCAAUUACUCACCAGUUCAUGACAUUACUGUACGUCCCCAUAUCAAUAAUAUUUUACCCUUUAAUAUUUUACCCUUUUUGAACCUUAGCCUUAAACAAGAUGUGAACCCUUGUCUUGAGAUUCUUUACCUUGAGUUGGGAUGAGCUAAACUGUAUGUGAUGAAAAGGUUCAAGUUUGGGGUUGCAUGAGGGAAAUUGAAAGGCAAGUGAAAAACAUUGAGCUCAAAUGUUGUGAAAAGAAAAAUUCAUUAGAAAAAGAAAAGAAAAGAAGAAAAGCAUGAAGAUGGGCUCAAUGCAAAAGAAAAAGAAAAAGGGAAAAAGUUGGGAACUAGUGAGAGUGGUGAGGAAGAGAGUUGUGCUUAAAUAUUGAAUACUUUGAUAGCUCUCUUAACUCAAGGAUUUUGUAUUCCAGAAAAACCAAUUUUUCUUGUUAGCCCAACCUUAUUACAAGCCUUGGAAAAGUCCUUUUGAU
RNAcentral lists this long non-coding RNA (1162 nucleotides) under Vigna radiata. RNAcentral's name for it is "long non-coding RNA (VRAD_LNC018508)". Lineage: Eukaryota; Viridiplantae; Streptophyta; Magnoliopsida; Fabales; Fabaceae. The record is from RNAcentral.